CAUGCCGUAAACGGUGGGCGCUAGGUGUAGGGGGCUUCCACGUCUUCUGUGCCGUAGCUAACGCAUUAAGCGCCCCGCCUGGGGAGUACGGCCGCAAGGCUAAAACUCAAAGGAAUUGACGGGGGCCCGCACAAGCGGCGGAGCAUGUGGAUUAAUUCGAUGCAACGCGAAGAACCUUACCUGGGCUUGACAUAUACAGGAUUGGGCUAGAGAUAGUUCGUCCCUUGUGGUCUGUAUACAGGUGG
Molecule: ribosomal RNA, 245 nt
Filed under: uncultured Corynebacterium sp.
Lineage: Bacteria; Bacillati; Actinomycetota; Actinomycetes; Mycobacteriales; Corynebacteriaceae
Description: partial 16S ribosomal RNA
Rfam family: Bacterial small subunit ribosomal RNA
Source: RNAcentral